Molecule: ribosomal RNA, 399 nt
Filed under: uncultured bacterium
Lineage: Bacteria
Description: bacterial SSU rRNA
Rfam family: Bacterial small subunit ribosomal RNA
Source: RNAcentral
GAACGAGUGCCUUCGGGUGCUAGUGGCGCACGGGUGCGUAACGCGUGGGAAUCUGCCCCUUGGUUCGGAAUAACCGUUGGAAACGACGGCUAAUACCGGAUGAUGACGUAAGUCCAAAGAUUUAUCGCCGAGGGAUGAGCCCGCGUAGGAUUAGGUAGUUGGUGUGGUAAAGGCGCACCAAGCCGACGAUCCUUAGCUGGUCUGAGAGGAUGAUCAGCCACACUGGGACUGAGACACGGCCCAGACUCCUACGGGAGGCAGCAGUGGGGAAUAUUGGACAAUGGGCGAAAGCCUGAUCCAGCAAUGCCGCGUGAGUGAUGAAGGCCUUAGGGUUGUAAAGCUCUUUUACCCGGGAUGAUAAUGACAGUACCGGGAGAAUAAGCUCCGGCUAACUCCGUG